RNAcentral lists this ribosomal RNA (212 nucleotides) under uncultured Thiobacillus sp. RNAcentral's name for it is "partial 16S ribosomal RNA". It matches the Rfam family "Bacterial small subunit ribosomal RNA", at positions 1171 to 1382 of the family's 1533-position model. Lineage: Bacteria; Pseudomonadati; Pseudomonadota; Betaproteobacteria; Nitrosomonadales; Thiobacillaceae. The record is from RNAcentral.
AAGUGGGGAUGACGUCAAGUCCUCAUGGCCCUUAUGGGUAGGGCUUCACACGUCAUACAAUGGUCGGUACAGAGGGUUGCCAAGCCGCGAGGCGGAGCCAAUCCCACAAAGCCGAUCGUAGUCCGGAUUGUUCUCUGCAACUCGAGAGCAUGAAGUCGGAAUCGCUAGUAAUCGCAGGUCAGCAUACUGCGGUGAAUACGUUCCCGGGUCUU